RNAcentral lists this ribosomal RNA (425 nucleotides) under uncultured bacterium. RNAcentral describes it as "partial 16S ribosomal RNA". It matches the Rfam family "Bacterial small subunit ribosomal RNA", at positions 354 to 796 of the family's 1533-position model. The record is from RNAcentral.
GUGGGGAAUCUUAGACAAUGGGGGAAACCCUGAUCUAGCCAUGCCGCGUGAGCGAUGAAGGCCUUAGGGUUGUAAAGCUCUUUCAGAUGGGAAGAUAAUGACGGUACCAUCAGAAGAAGCCCCGGCUAACUCCGUGCCAGCAGCCGCGGUAAUACGGAGGGGGCUAGCGUUGUUCGGAAUUACUGGGCGUAAAGCGCACGUAGGCGGACCAGAAAGUCAGAGGUGAAAUCCCAGGGCUCAACCUUGGAACUGCCUUUGAAACUCCUGGUCUUGAGGUCGAGAGAGGUGAGUGGAAUUCCGAGUGUAGAGGUGAAAUUCGUAGAUAUUCGGAGGAACACCAGUGGCGAAGGCGGCUCACUGGCUCGAUACUGACGCUGAGGUGCGAAAGCGUGGGGAGCAAACAGGAUUAGAAACCCCUGUAGUCC